ACCCUCUUCAAUCUAGCUAUCUUUUCUUCUGAUCCUUGGCCUUUCUCUUUCUGAUCAAUUAAUUUCUCCUAAUUUUUCUGAUUCAGCUUUCCAUAAACUUGAACAAUUUAUCAAUGGGGAGUGGAAAUAAACACCAUCAUCUGAAUUUCCAUGUUCAAUUUCAUUUUCCAUUUCAUCAUACGAAGGAGGAAUUGAGGGAUACAGUACCGAGAGGAUGCGUUACGGUGUUGGUGGGUCAAGGUGAGGAGGAGCAGCAGAAAUUCGUGAUACCAGUAAUGCAUAUUAAUCAUCCUCUCUUCACACAAUUGUUAAAAGAAGCAGAGCAAGUCUACGGAUUUCAUCAUAAUGGUCCCUUAAAUAUACCCUGUAAUAUCGACCAGUUUCGCUAUGUUGAGGGAAUGAUUGAUAAGGACGUUCAUCACCACCACCAUCAUCACCUGUGCUGCUUCAAAGCCUGAUUUUAUUACAUCUUGCUUGUAUAUAUGUAAUAUAGUAUUACUAAUGACGACGAUGAAAAUUAUUUAUAUGCAAUAAUAUAUAGUUGUAAAUAUUUGUAGUUUGAUUUCUCAGAUGAUCAAUUAGUUAUACUUUAUUUGUUGAGCAAUAUGGUCGCGAUAUACAACUCACUCUAUUUAUUAUACCUUCUUUUGAAAUUAACGAUUUAAGUAUUGUAACGAGAAAUUGGCGUGCUAAUGGUCGGAUUAAUGUCUUCUUGGUUGAGUUUUGUUACGUUACUGAUCGUAUUCCCCAUUAAUUAGCUAUGUAUAUAUUUGGACAACUCAAAACUGGAUUAACAAACUUAUAGCUCUAAAUCUAUGAAUUAGUCCCUAAUUUGGGUAAUUAGAUAGACUUGAUCUCUUGAGGUUUUCAAUAUAAUUGUUUCUAGAUUUGUUUGCGCUAAUUACACGAUCAAAUUGAGGGUUGAAGAACUUGGCGUUUCUAUAAUGGAAAAUUCUAGUUUUCAAUUGUUAAAUUAGGUCUUGGGCCUAACACAACACAGCCCAACAGCUACCUCAAAGGGAGGAGGAUUUCCUAAGUCUUUAACACCCCACCUCACGCCCAGUGCUUAGCAUCUGGUGCGUGGACAAUUUUGAUUUUGGGGGCCCGAACAUCGGGUGAGACGGGCCCUGCUUUGAUACCAUAUUAAAUUAGGUCUUGGGCCUAACUCACACCCCAAAAGCUAGCUCAAAGGGAGGAGGAUUGCCUAAACCUUAUAAGGAGACCACCCAUCUCAUUAACCACCGAUGUGGAAUUUUUGUCAUUCUUUAACAUCUAUGUUCACUCAAAAGGAGAUGUUUAUUCGAUCGGUCAAGUCAGCUUUAUGAAGUUGUUGCAUGUAAACUUUAUUAGCAUUAACUGCUGACCUAAUACAAAUAUUAAGCAUAUUAUAAUUUGUGAAAACUUUUACUGUACUAGUAUAUAAUUUAAAUCCUUUGGAAAUUGGCUGCAACUUGGCUCAAACACCAGCUUUCGUUUAUACUAGAAACAUAAGUGUGUAAAAUGUGAAGAACUUCGACAAAGAAAACCCUUAGCUAUACAUUAGUAUUAUUUUUCCGAUCGUGAGAUAUUUAGAAUUAGUUAUUUCAUCUUUAUACUUGUAACUCAAGUAUCACACGAUUUAUGGUUUUUUUUGUUUCCCACCUGGUAUUCGGUGUCCACAUUGGAGAUCGACUAAAUUUGAAUUCACACUGGAAAGUCUCACAUUGGUGGUAAAGCGCUCCCUAACAAAGGCAAUUCCAUACCCAAAGAGGCUCGAACCCAAGACCUCUUGGUUAAGGAUAAAAGAAUACUUAUCACUCUACCACAGUUGAUUAUGGUUUGAUGAGUUUGGGCCGUGAACAAAUAGUGAGGUGUCGGCAGAGACAAGUCAUUAAUUUCAUGUCUGCUCUCUAAUUAAAUAUGUAUUCCUCUUAACAUAAAAAGCUGAUCAUCUAUCGAAAUUUUGUGUCCAAAACAACAAAUGGUCCAAAAUUUAUUCGAUUUUAUCCCAAGUAUUUGGUAGUUAAUUAUUAUAAAUUUAAGAUUUUUAAGAAGUUCUACCUUUUAGAAAAUUAUUAAUUGAAGAUAUAAUAGGUAAAAUGAAUUGUCUUUUCUUGAUUUGUCACAAUAGACAAGUAAAAAGGGACAAAUAAAAAAAAGAAAAUUGUAUAAGUAAUUAGGGACAAGAGUAUUACUUUUGUCUCAUAUUAGUUGUCCCUCUUACUAAAUUAAGAAAGUAUUAAUUAAAAGGAAAUUUUUCUAUAUCAUCUUUGCAAUUAAUUCUUUUUGAGAGUAUUCACAUUUAUUUAUAAAAUUUCCAAUUUUUUUUUGAGUAAAUUAGUAAAAUUAUCUUUUUUAUUUAUGAUUUUAGUAAUAUGAGUAUAUAAAAAGGAAAAUAAUCAACGAAAGUAUAGGUUUGACUUUUGAGAGUUGUGAAUACGUCAAAGGAAAAUCUUAUAUAGAGGAAAGCUCAAGAAUAUUUGGUCAUUCAAGUACUAGAAACUCACAAGUUACAACACAAAAGUUGCUACUUUGUUUACUCAGCUCAUUUUAAAUUUAUUUGUCCUAAUUUUCUUUUUUAGUUCAUUUUAAAGAAAUCUUAUAAUAUUGGUUCCAUGCAUGAAAUGAUAAUUAAUGUUUCCAUCUCGAAGAGUACUUCCAUCCAGCUCUGGUGUUCCAUGUGAUACUCUUACAUUUUCUAAUUUUAUAGAUUAUUGCAAAACCUCAUUAUAAUAAUCAUGCUUAUCGGAUCAUGAUCAUCAUAUGUUGUAGAUCAUCUUUUAACAUUACUACAUUUUGAAUUUUCAUAAAUUUCGCAUAAGAUAAAAGCUUGUUUCAUAUAUCGUAGAAACAACUUGAUUUGUCUACACUCCGACAAUGACAAGCUUUGAAACAGGGGGCAUUUGUAGACAUUGAAAUUUUGUGGAACUCUACAAGAUGCGUUCAAUUCGAGUUGGGACUCUACAAGGUGUGUUCAAUUCAAAUUAGGAUUCUUGGAGGCUACUCAACCCUAAACCCUAGUUCACGCCUAUAUAAAGGGUACAAAAUUCUCUUUAUAUAGACAUGAAUUAGAGUUUAGGAUUGAGUAGCCUCCAAGAAUUCUAAUUGAAAUUGAACACACCUUUUAGAGUCCCAAUUCGAAUUAAACACGUCUUGUAGAGUCACACAAAAUUUCAAUUUCUACAACAUCCUAACAAAAACCUCCAAAUGGACCCUUUUUGAAAAGUCAUUCAUUAAUGAAUGCCUUUCCAUAUGUAUUACUUUGUCCUAAACCUAAAGGCAAAGGAUUAGACAACCCAGCACUUUGUCUUCUAUUUUGGAGUUCUUAUAUAAAUUUACCAUGACACCUCACCUUGCAAGGCAAAUUAUAUUUGUCAACCCUUAUUAAGUAUAAUAUAAAUAGUACCUAAAAAAUGAGUACCAAAUUUGUUGGCCCCAUAUUAUUUUUCUGGUUUACUGUCUUGAAUCUAUUGGUCCCUUUAAAAUCCCAAGUUCUAAAGAAAGUAAACAGUUACACUUGUGGUGUGUGGACAUUUCAGAACAAGAAUUAAUCAUACAUACCGGUACAUAGUGAUGGAAAGUGACUAUAUAUUUUUGUUGCCUCUUGAUUUGAAUAUUUUGACGAAUUGUUUAUAUCAUAUAGUACCACCUUGUUCUCCAUAAAUUAAAAAGAUGAAUGUGACCUAACAGGUACUUGAUUAAUUAAUAGUGUAAGCCUAUAAGGAUGGUAUAUAUUCAAGUCAUAGAAAUUGUGAGUAAAAUUACUUUUGAAUUUUUUUGUAACAAAAUGAUCAUUUAAUAGACAUUUAACUCAAAUCUUCUCUAAACGGUCCUAAAAUUUAGAUAUGAGCUCUUUUCGAUGUUUUGAUAUACUAUUUACUCGAAACGAUUCAUGCGUAGCAAAUCUAACUUGUAAUUUGUUUGUUAAUUAUGAACGGUAUAAGAACUUUUAAAUUGUUCAUAAUUUCUAGAGUAUAGUUUGUUUAGCCUUCUGAAUCUAUAGUCCUUCUUCCGAUCCCAACCUUAAGGCAUUAUUACAAGCACGAAUUUUUGAGGACUUUUAAUGAUCUAUCGGAUAUAUAGGGUAAUUAGCUGAUAAUUAAGCUAUUUUAAAUUUAGACAGUCAACCAACUAAUAAACUAUUAAGAUUUUCUCCUUGACAAACACUUUAUUAGUUAUUACAAUUUCGUUUUUUCUUUUUGGAAAUAUAAAAACAAGAAUCAUACAUACAUAGUGAUGGAAAGUGACAAUUUUCUUUUCUUUUUUUUAAGAAUAAUGUGGUCUUGAGGGGAGGGGGGGGGGGUCAAUNNNNNNNNNNNNNNNNNNNNNNNNNNNNNNNNNNNNNNNNNNNNNNNNNNNNNNNNNNNNNNNNNNNNNNNNNNNNNNNNNNNNNNNNNNNNNNNNNNNNNNNNNNNNNNNNNNNNNNNNGGGGGGGGGGUCUAUUAGAUAGCAACUUGUACCUCUUGAUUUUGAAUAUUUUACGAAUUGCUUAUAUCAUAGUACCACGUUGUCCUCCCUUCUAGCUCAUCUCUUAAUCAUGGUCUCGUCGAUAUAUGGGCGUGACCCAACAAGUUCAAAAUCUAAGGAUACUUUUAAAGUUAGUUGAAUACACAGAGGCAGUGGCAUACGCAAGAUUUUUUUUAAGCAGUGUCACCAUUAAAGUGACAGGAAUAGUUCAAGAAGAAAAUUAAUGAAGAUUUUGUUUUAGGCCUCCCAAAAUUUGAUGCCCCAUUAAUAAUGAAAAAAUAUUUUCUUAAAAAUAUAAAAUUUAAAUUAAAUUUAAUUUUUUUUAAAAAAUUGUUUAUUCUUUAAAUUAGAUAAUAUUUUAAAAUUUUAAAUUAAAACAUUUACAUCUUCAUAUUAUUAAAUAAAGUUUAAUACAACAUUAUUUAACCGAUUGUAUUGCAAAUAAAUGAUUAAUAAAAUUAUUAUUAUGAACAAAUAAAAAUUCAAGCAUAUGAUAAAAAAAAAUAGAAUAGAAAGAAAAUAUUGAUAUGAUGUGGAGAUUCGAGAUGCCAAUAACGAUGAUUGAUGAACAAGAACAGAAAGAAAAUUGAAGAAACUCACAAGAAUAUACAAAUACAAGGAUAGGAGUCAACACUAUUUUUAUUUAACUAUAAUUCUAAUUGAUGAAGGACUCAAAGAUUUUGAGUUUUAUUUUAAUUCUAAAAAUAAAAAAGAAUAGUUAAAUUUUGAAUGAAUUAGAGUGGGUCAGAAGGUUUUUAUUUUUUAAUGAACUGUUUUGAAUUUAAAACAAAAAAUUAAUAAAUUUAAGAAAAGAAAAAAAUGAAACGUGAAAAAAACAAAAGAAAACGCGCAUAAAAACCACACGUCGUAUGGGAUCGAACUCAGGACAUUGAUCUUUGUAUGCAGCGUCUCUGCCACCUGAGCUAGGAGCACUCUGUUAUAAGGGUUGUCCUUUUAAUUAUUUUACCAUUUAGUUUGUUUUUUUUAUUUUUUAUAUAGGUAUAUUCCGUAAAAAAAUUCGACGAAGCCGUGUCACAUGACACACCUUAGAUGUACUUAAAUCCGCUCCUGCACAGAGGAAAAAUUCUUGGUACGGAAUGCUUCACCCCAAAUGGCCCUACGCAGUUGGAAAAAUCCAUAUUAAGGCUAAUGCAUGUAAUUAAAGAAGAUGACAUAUUUUAAGUGGUGUAGGUGCUACAUAAUGAAUGCUUGGAACACUUAAAAAAAAUAAUCAAAAAUUAUGAGUCAAAAGUAAUGUCUAAAAGAAACACUUUAUCACGUGUUCAAGUGUUUAAUCAAAACAUGUCGUAAUUUAAUUGACUAUCUAAAUAAAAUUUACAGGUAAGUUUAAAGGAUUAUCGUUGUAUUGCGUCGUUGAAGUUUAAACAUACAGUUACAUGGGAGAGUAGGCAAAAUAGCCACCUUAAAGACUUAAUGUGACAUUAAGUCACAAGUCUUGAAUAAUUUGUGGUAUACCCACUAUUAAUGACAUCAUCCACAUGCCCUAAUUGGCACAUACAAAAUACCUCACUAAGUUUCCAUAUCUCCACUUUGAUCUCCCCCUUCUUUUCCAACUAAUUUGGAAUAAUAUAUUUAUUUUCAAUUGUUAAAAUUUAUAUUAGAAAAAAGAAAAAAGCCUCCAAACGGAAACAAGAGCAGCUCAUUGUUCCUGCUGUCGAUUUGUCGAUUUCGGUGAAUUUUUCUACUGUAAUAUCCAUUUCCAAGGUAAAAUCAUCAUCAUCUCCUACUCCAUAUUCAUAUUUACUCCAUUUUCUUUCAAAACCCAAGCUUCAAAAUUAGUUUCCCAACAUUAUAGAAAUUUGAGAAAUCUUCCAUAAUAAUCACUUGAUAACUCAUUAUAGAUACAUAUUAGUAGUUUAAAAGCAUUAAAAUCUAUUUCGCCAUUGCAGGAGCUGAAUUUUAAACCCGAUCUCAUUCAGUCGCGUUUUUGUACGGAUUCCGUACCUCAUAGACUAAUACUGUAAUAUAUUAUCGAUAUUUGUAGUCUAUAAUAGCAAUAGCUGAAUUUGUUGUUGCUGGUGGAGAUUAUAUGUGAGUAUGGUAGGAGACUCCCAAGAGUUGGAAUUGGAAAUCUUUUAGUAAGACGAUAGUGCCCAUUGCGUUGCGUUGCAAUGGUUCAUAUGACGAUAUGAUUGCAAGCGUAAUUGAGGCCGGUGAGUUAACUUGCGAGCCAAAUGACUUGGUGAUUAGUUGUCAAAUGAAUGGAAGGGGAAAAAUACAUCCCACAUUCAUAAAAAAUGAUUGGCACAUUAGCUUGUACAUGUUAGAUAUUGAUAUUGAUGUCUCUAGGCCUAUAUUGAGGAUACACGUCAAUGCGAGGCCUCCAAUUUAACCAACAAAUUCAUUUGACGACAACAAUAAUUCUAUUGGAAAUGAAAGAUUGGGAGAUCAUUCAAAGGAGAGCUUGGGUGAUCAUUUAAAUGAGAGUUUGGGUGAUCAUUCAAUGAAUAUACAUGAUGAUCCACCUAAUGUGGAAAAUCAGUCAGUAGAUCCAAAAGAUCCCGAACGCGAAUGUUGUGAAGAAAUGCAGGGAGAACAGGAAUUGAGAUCACAAUCCAACCAUUCCUUCUCCGAUGGAACUAAUUUAUGCAUAAAUCAAACUUUCAAUAACAAGAAUGAGUUACAAUUGUUAUUAGCCAAAGCGGUGGGGAAGAAGUGUUUUGAUUUUGCUACUUUGAGGAGUUGUACUAAAUAUUUAAAGGUGAAAUGUGUAUUUCAGAAUUGUGCAUGGAUGUUGCGGGCGAGGAAAUAUGAGUGUUCGAAUAGAUUUCGUAUCUACAAAUACAUUGGUGAGCAUAGUUGCGGCGUUGAGCAUGCCAAUAGUAGCCAUAGAAAAAUCUCAAUCAAAGUUAUUGUUUCACUCAGUGUAAAUAUGUAUCGUGAUGGUAAGGGUCCAAAUGUUAAAGAGAUUGAAAGGGCUAUGUUUAAUUCUUUUCGUUGUAGUCCAAGUUAUUGGAAAUGUUGGAAGGGAGGUGUGGUUGUCAAGGAAAUGGUCCGAGGGACAACGGAGAACAGAUAUUCAUGCUUACCAGCUUUUUCCUACAUGUUCGAGACACUUAAUGUUGGUUCUAGUUAUUCUAUCAUGGUAAACAAGGAUAAUCAUAGGUUUAUGUAUUAUUUUUUGGCCUUCGGUGCUUGCAUUAAGGGAUUUGCCCACAUGAGAAAGGUAAUUGUGAUUGAUGACACUCAUUUACAUGGUUAAUACGAGGGCGUGUUGUUAAGCGUUGUUGCACAAGAUACGAACAAUCAUGUUUAUCCAAUUGUUUUUUGUAUCGUGGACAAAGAUAUUAAUGCAUCUUAGACAUUCUUCUUUGAGAAAUUGAAGGAGAUUGUGGUCGAUGAAUCGAAUUUGUGUUUUAUCUCCGACAGACAUAAGAGCAUCGCCAACGCCAUUGUGAAUGUUUACAAUCAUGCUCACCAUAGAUAUUGUAUGAGUCACCUCGGUGAAAACCUCUGUGUAAAUCAUCAUUGUGAAGAUUACUUUUAUCUUUAUUACAAUGCGGCAAAGGCUUAUUCUUUGGAAGAGUUUGACAAUCAUUUUGUCGAAUUCAAGAACAAAUGUCCCGCGGCAGCUGUCGUCCUUAAGUAUGAUAUAGGUUUUGAGAAGUGGAGUAGGGCAUAUUUUCCUGGCAGUAGAUAUGAUGUGAUGACCACAAAUUUCGCCGAGUCACUCAAUGUUAUGUUGAUAGACGAAAGGUAGUAUCAUGUGGCAUCAAUAUUUAAUUCGAUUGCUAAGAGGUUUGGAGAAUUGUUCAGGGAGAGGCCUCCAUAUAUCCUUAAAUCAAUGGGUAAUCAAAUGGUGCCUUCUGCAAAAAAAAUCGCAAGAAGGAAAAUGAUCGAGGGCCACUCCUUAUAUAUGGAGAACGUAACUGGGGAUGGCAAUCAAUUUACCGUGUUCGGUGCAGGUGUUACUGCCUAUGUGGACCAACUGGAAAAGUCAUGUUCUUUUAGAAAAUAUGACUUCAUCAAGAUACCUUGUGCUCACGCGAUGGCUGCUUUGCGAUCAAAGCAUGGCAACGAGUAUUGUAUUAGCAUUUAUGAGUACCCUUCGCCUUUGUAUAAAGUUGAAUCGUUCCUCCUUGCAUACUUAGAUUAUAUUAAUGUUGUCCCUCUCUAGUUGGAAUGGUGUGUGCCAGAAGAAUUGCUUAAUGUGAAGAUUUUUUCGCCUCUUGUCGAUACCAAACUUGGAAGAAAACGAAGAAAACGUGUCAAAGGUGUCGAUAAGAAUUUCAAAAUCAAGAGAAGGAACAAAUGUUCAAUUUUCAAGAGAACCACAUGUGUGAACAACAACAAAUCUUAAUUAAGCUUGGUUGGAUAUGUUGAUUGAAUUUGUUUUUGUAAUCAAGCUACUCUUUUUUUUGGCAGCCAGCAUUUUGAUCAAUUGUUAUUAUCGUAAUUACUCAUAGUCUAAUAUAGAUCAAUCAAAAGAUGACAUACAUUUUGCACACUAUCUAUUAAAGUUUAUUAUCGAGUCCACUCAUUGUGUAUUAAGCUGUGUAUUAUUAAUAUAUGAAAAUUCAUAAUAUUCGUAAUGCAAUGAUUUUAAUGCAUGAAUUAGAAUAUGAUUUUAAUGCAAUGAUCUAUGUAUAACUAAUACAAUCAUUAUUUGGAUAUACACUCUAUCAAACGAAUCCAUAAAGAAUUGUCAAAAAAUCAGAUGUUACCAUUGAAAAAGUAGCAAUUUGAAUUUUUUGUACCGUUGUAAAAUUUGUAUAUGUAAAUAUUUACUGGUUAUCAAAAUAUAUAGACCCUUUAUACAAUUGAUGCAUCUCUAUGUGCUUGGUGUAUGUAUGACCAAUAAGAUAUACACUCUGACAUUAGUAAGGUAUAUUCGGGUUUUUAUCUAUUUUAAAGCAUUGUCGAUACUUCACCUAUUAGAAUCUAACACUAUAGAUCAAAACUAGUAGAAUUUAGAAAAGACAACAAUUAAUUAAUAAUAAAUUAUAUUUUUGAAAUUUAUCCAAUUAAAUGCGUUUAAACAAGGCAUAUGAUCAUGUAAAAGUCCACAUAAAUUGGGUGUGGUGAUUAGAGAUGUAUGAGGAAGAGUUGUGGUUAUACAAUCAACAUCCUUAGAACAAUGUUUGAGAAAACAUAAGUAUGGUGUGCGGAUAUCACUUGUUUAACCACACAUUGUUUAUUGCCACCCCAAUUUAUGUAGACUCAUACAUGACCACAUGCGUAUGUUCUAAAGAUGUUGAUUGUAUAACCACACAUAACAAGUUACAUCCUUAAGCCAAAACAUGCAGGCUUAUCAUUCACACAAAAUCAAAUUUCCUGCAGUUUUUUGUCAUUUCUCACCCGUCGCAACAACAUAUAAUGGACAAUCUGUCCAUUGAACUUAAAAUAAUCUCAAAUAUGCCUCAAAUGUCCAAAGCAAGUACCCUUAAAUUCAUUAUAAAGAUUUUGUUCAACCAGAAUUUUUCUAAAGUCACGAUAAACUGUCAUCCUUGAUCUUACAGAGAUCUUUGUUGAAAAAGAUCCUCAUCUAACCACGUUGCUAGGUCAUACAACUCACCAGAGAUAUCUCUUGCACAAAUGGGCAAGGAUAGAUGAUCUUCCUAAUCUCGACUAGUGUCUCUACUACUCUCCUCAACAUUAUCACUACCAUCAGCACUAUUGUCCUGAUAAUUGUCAAUCCCCGCCAUUAUUUUCAUUUGUGAAUCAGAUUCGGGUUCUUCGACUGCAAUUUCUUUCUUUUUACAAGUUUUCAAAACUUGUUCAGCCUUUCGUUUUUUAAUGCUAGAGCAAUUGGAGCAGAUGGUUUAGUGCUUCCUCCUCUAGUUUUAGCCAUACUUUAUAAUCUACAAGCAAAAACAUAUUUAUCAACCCACUAGUUUAUUAACAUAAACAGAGUAAACCUCAAAUAAAGCUUGCAAAAUUAAUAGCAGAUCCAACAGAAAUCAACAAUGCUAUUGACAGAAACGCCACUAAAGUCGAUCAAAGUUUAGUAAAUAUUUCAAAAUCAAUAGGCGAGAUAAACAUAAAAAAAAUAAUUUAAAUAAGCAAUCAAAUAGGGCUAUAUAUUCAAAUACAAACAAAAACGUCAUUAGAGACAACAAAUACACUGAAUACAACGAAAAAACUUCAUCCCAAACAAGAACAUCAACAAAAACAAUCCAAAAAAAGGGGUCAUUACAUCAUUACACUACCAUAAAAAAAUAAACAAUCAAAUAUGGACAAUAAUUACCGAAGAACACCAUUACAGAAGGUUCAACUUACCAAAGACGAGGGCUUUAAUUUGAUCUUGGGGAAGAAGUUUGAAAAAAAUAGAUGAUAAUUUGAGAGGGGUUUAGGACGAUGAAAAGUGAGAAAAGUUUGUAUAAGUUAAUGGAAGAGAAGCGUAUGGGGAAGAGUAGCAUAUGAUUACACUGGAAGAGAAGUGUAUGGGGAAGAUGAAAAGCCCUUGCACUUGGAGAAGAAGAAACGUUGAAACAAAUAUUCAGAAAAGUGCCUCGAUUUUCAUCAAUAUAUAAUAUUUUAUCAGAAUAUAUUAUUUUUUAAAUGUAUUGGGAUUAUAAUAUAUUUUUGUAACGUUAUAUUUUUUCCCCAAGUUUUAAAAAUAAUAAAUAAGCUCAUGACCCCACAUUCACAAAUAUACCCCAAGUUUUAAAAAGGCCAAAGAGACCUACGACCCCACACUUUUUCCUUUUUAAAAAGCCCAAUCCUAGAAAAUAAAGCAAAAAUAAAUAAAGUGGGUAUAAAGUAAAUUAAGUUAUAAAGGUGUCCCCAAUGCAAAUUCUUCUCCGGUUACAUCACAAUACAUAAAAUAUUAGCGUAUAAGUAAUAUACAUUGUCAGUUCAAAUAAUUUUUUUGCUAUUAUCACGUUAUUUCACCUGUAGGUAAUAUAUACAUUUUAUUUUUCAAGAUUUCAAAUCUGUUAUUUUAAAUACUUUUAAUAAUAUGUAAAUAUCAUUUAAACGAUGUGAUAGCAUAAAAAACAAAUUACUCACACUAUGGUAUAUAAAAUUAAUUAAACUCAUAAUAUUAUGUCUGACUCAAACUUGAGUGGUUUUAGUUAGCGACCUUGAAGCAAGUAAACGUUGUUCUUGCUUUGAUUCAGAAAUUUUUUAUAGCAGAAUCAUAUACUAAUCCAAAGGUCAAUAUUUAAUUAAACAAAUUAACAUAUCUUAGUUCAAAUAAACUAAAAAAUGCAUGCAUCAGGUUAUUAAUUAGGUGCACGUAACUGGCAAAAUUCUACAAUAGCGACUUUUUCUUUCUUCCAGUGAAAUCGAAGUGUCUAGCAAUUUAAAAGCCUCUUUCAAAAUGACUGGCUAUAUUACAAGACACGACAUAAUUCUUUUACUCUCGAUCAGAGGUAUCAAAUUUGAAUAUUGAGAAAGGAAAAUCUCCAAUUGGAUUUUAAGCUUUAUUUUAAUAUUAAUUUAAAGUGCAUAAUUCCUAAUUGUAUAUUACACCAACAUCUCCUACUAGUGAGCGCUUUUCUAUUAGUGGAGUACUUCAAAUAUCGUGAAUUCAAAUUAGUCAGAUUCAUAAAUUUCUAAUAUCAAAGAGUUAAACUAUAAAGCACGCAAGAGUAUUGAGGAUAGGCUUUCUUUAUCUUUAUCUUCAUGAAUAAUUGUGUUGGUGUGACAUUUUAAUAUUAAUAAAAAUAUAUGAUGUCACAUUAUGUAUUAUGUUAUGUCUAUUGGUGGACAUUACAUUUGUGCUUCUUUACUCUCAUCAAUAGUGGAAGAAAGUAGUCAUUAGUUGUUAGUAACUUAUGUAACCACCAACUCUUCAUUUCACCCAUUAUUCUAUCUUUUAAGUCUUGUAACUUAUGUAACAUUUGGGCUAGGGGCGGAUCUAGUAAGGUUCGUGGGGGUGCCACGCCACCCACGGGCUUCGACGGAAACUCUAGUAUAUAUAGGUAUAUAUCUACAAUAUAAUUACAAAUACUAAAUGUGCUACCCAAGGAACCAAAAGGCCUUGUGGUGCGGCUGGCUAAGGGUCAUAUUCUAACACGGAGGUUGCAAGGUCGAAUCUUGUUGAGGCCCUGACAGUUUUUUAAUUUGCAAUUUUAACUUGCUCCCUUAAUAUGACAACGGCACAUUAUUUUUUUUUUGUUUGUUUCUAAUAGUUGUCUUAAUAUGGAGUAGUAAUUUAUAAGUAUAUUUCACUAGCGUCUUACUUAAAACGUGAUCUAUUUAUAAAUACAAGCAAUGAUAUCGUCAUUGAUCAUUUUCAAAAUAUGAAAAUUUGUCAAGCACAAUUAUAAAUGAAUGAUGAAUAUUUAUAGUAUAAUUGAAAGUUUUAACUUUGUUUACUUUAUGAUCUCAAUCAAAUGUGGGGUGCAAAUUUGUAUUUAUAUAUGGAGGUAGUGAAGGGAAGGGAAAAUGGUAAGGUGACAAUUCAAAUAGUCAACCAAUUGAGCUAAAAUGAUUUUUCCCAAAUAUUACGUGAGAGAAAAUCUUCCAUUAUCGGUCUUGAAUUCGACUUUCAACAAGAGCAUCUAAAUUAAAACGAUAAACUUUUGCUCCGUUGGAGACAUCUGAUAAAAUUGAAACAAUGUGGAGAAGAUUAGCAUGACUCAUGCAUAAAGAAUUUGUAGUAUAUAUAAUACAUAAGUUGUCAUCUUAUCAUUGUUCAUAUUUGUCAUAGACCGAAAAGAUGAAUAAUUCGACUGAAGCCUAAAAUUGAUUUAACCGAUGAACCUACUUGGCACCCAGAGACUUGAAAUCCUGAAUCCGCUUCUGAUUUGUGCCAUUCAUUUGACAAAUUUACUACCCACUAUCUUCCUAUUCAUUGCAAGGAAGAAUUCAUCACCUAUAAAUAGUGUGGUCUUCCUUCGUCUUGAGAAAUAAGAAGAAGCAAGAGAAGUAGAGACAACAAGAGAUACUAAGAAAGAUGAGAAGUGUGAAAUAAUAUUUUAGUGUGUACUAGUGAAAGAGAGAGCUGAGACAAAGAAAAUAUUCAAAGUCUUCAACUAUAUUCACUAUAUACAAAAGAGAAUAUUUAUAUAUUGAAGAAAUGUGUUUUUAUGUGGAGAUUUGAACUCUUCAACUAAUUCGGAGUUGUUUGAGUUGUACACGUUGUUGGGUUGUUGUAUCCUGGAGUGGACAAGUCAGGAGUGAUACUGCUGGAUCGGUGUAGAUUAUGCCGCAGUGGGCUUAAAUCUCCUUAAAGAGAGCGAGAAAUUUGUGUCUCAGCCUAAAGAUUUGUUUAUUCGUUUUUGUCAUUUUAUUUUCAACUGUAAUUUAAUAUAUUUACGGUAUAUUACACCAACAAAUUGAGAUGUGGGGGGUGAUUUAUCUCUUGCUUCAUAAUUAAAGUAAAAUUUUAUCCUUAAGGCACCGCAAAAUCUCAAUAGAUUGAUUUAGGUACUUUUAAUCAUCUGUCAUUUAAAUUUUAAGCAACUUAACUAAAAGUUUUCUUGAUAUCCAUCUCGUUAUGUGAAACGGAAUGCACCAUUUUAUUCGAAAUUUUUAAGAUAUAUACAUCGACAAUAUUUAUAAAAAAAAAUCAUAAUAUUAAUGUCAUUUAACCGACUAUUUACUAUAAAUUAUAUUACUAAUCUAUGAUUCAAAUUACCAUAGCUAGAAUAUAUACACUGUCUAUUUAAUGAACUUAUAUUCUGUUUUACAUUGUUCUUCCUUUCUAUAAUUUCUCACCAUACUUUUUAGUAGAAAAAUAACCACGACUUUUUUUUGUUUUCGUUUUUCUUUCAAUAAGUGAACAAUUAAUUAAAUUGCAUCAAAAGAAAGAGAUCACUAAUUAUAAAUGUAAUGCGUAUUAGUUUUGUAUCUCAACUUACUUUGUAUCUAAUUAUCUAUAUAUCAAUUCAUUUAGUGUGUGUUGUAUAUGUUCGCUCUCUAUUAAAGUAAAUAGAUAUAACAUAUAUAGAGCAAAUAGAGAUAACAAAUAUAAAUCGAAUUGAUACAAUUCUAAUUGAACAUAUAAAAUUCAACCUCUCAUGGUGUAUAACAAUAACUAUAUACUCAAUGUGAUUUCAUAAAGCAGAGAUGAGGAAGAUAGAGUGUAUACAUAUCUCUUACUAUUAUUUUAGAGGUAAAAAUAUUGUUUCCAAUAAACCAUUCUGUUUACAUCUCUACUCUAUUCAAAUAGGGCGAAACGUCGUGAUGACUCAAAAAAUAAACAUUGGAUUCAAUUUUAAAAGAAUUUUAAGAAAAUAAGAAUUUUAAAAGAGUCGCCACCUAAUUCAAUUUUAAAAGAAUUUUAAGAAUAAACAAAUUUUAAAAGAGUCGCCACCUCAUUUUAGGAAAAACAAGGAAACUAAUUAAAAAUGUCUACGAAACCAAUAGAUUUUAGGUAAGCGUUCAAGUUAUUUCAAAGGGAAAGUGUUAUGUAUCCUUCGAAAUCCACAACUAUGGAUCCCGACUGAAUACAUUUUUUUCAAAUUGAGGAGGAGAUAAAACAGUAUACAAGUAAAACAAACAUGCGAUAUUCACAAGUAAUAAAACAAAACAAUAAUAUAAAAAACUGUCUAAUGUUUGCCUAACAUCGAUAAUAUAUACACAAUAAUGAAUAUAAAUAUAUUUGAACUCCAUUGGAAUAGCUUCAACGGAAAAUAACUCCGGGGUACCCGUAAAUAUACUUAGUAAAAGUGUUAAUAAUAAAUAAAUAUGAACAACUCAAAUAACAAAUUUUAAAAUAAAAAUCCAUCUUAUUAACAUGGGAGGCCUUGAAAAUCAACGGUAAUUUCUUCAUCGGCCAUUUUAAUUACAAAAAUAUAUUAACCUAAACUAAAUUUUCAUCUUUUACAAUGUAAAGGCUUCCAAAACCGACGGAGAAAUUUUCUCAUUGGCCAAUUCUAACUUAUUGAACAAUUUAAUAAAACAUAAAGUAAUUUAAAUUAACCUCAAACAACAUGAACAAACAUAAUAUUAAUAAUAAUAUUACCAAUAACAACACCAACAGUAACAAUAAUAACAAGACUAAUAAUAAUAAUAAUAAACAAGAGUGUUAAAAUUAUAUUCCAAAGAGUAAACCACACAGACUAUCGAAAGAUAACCUUAUAUAAAAAAAAAACUCAUUAAAAGAUUGCUGGAAAAGGACAAAGCAACAUUAAAUCAAUAACUAAAUAUGAUAGCUAAGUAGUUAAUUUUAACAUAAUAACAACCGAAAAUAACCAAUGGACAGAAACCAAGCAACAACAAUAAUAAAAUAAUAAAAAUAAAUUAAAUAACAACAACAAAAUUGAAACAAGCAACAGAACAUUUUGCAAUUGAAAAAUUACUAUAGCUAACCAAACGUAUAUCCAAAAGAAAGAAUAUGAAUAUAAACACACAAAUGUAAUAUGUAAUAUAUAAUGUAAAAGAAAAGAAUGGGGUUUGUCACCGGAAUUUUUUACUAGAGUAGCAAUUUGUGAGCAAUGUUGGUUUUCUCCGGCAGUGUGAGAAUCGCUGGUGCAAGAUCUGGUUAACUGAUUGUGGUUUACCGGCGAUGGAGCCACACUGGAGCUAGAGUCGGAGCUUCGAGCUCGCUAGUUCGCGUGAAAGCUGUAAAAACAACCAACAAAAUCAUGAAAGGGAAAGGGAAAGGGACUGGCAGCGAGCCUUUAUUUUUUCUCCAGCUCAUUGGAUCUUUGAGCUUCAAACUCGUUGGAGUUCGAUGGGGUUUGGAGGGUCGUUUGGUUGCUGUUUUGUGGGGUUUUGAUUCGGUGUUGUUUGUUCGCUGGAAAAAAGGAUUGUUUUGGUUGGGGUUUUUGGGCGGAAAUGAGUGAGGUUUAGGGAUCUGGUUUGAGGGAGAACGGUGGUGAGUUUGGUCGGGGAAGAGAAGGAAUUGGGAUGGUCGUUUAUUGGAGCUUUAAGCUCACUGGAAAAUGGGGUUUUUGGGUUGAGUUCGUGGAAGCGGCGAGCAGGUGGUUGGAAAGAAGAGUAAAAUGAGCGUCUGGAGUGACUCCGGUGGUGGAACUUGGUUUGUUUUCCGGUGGGUCUGAUUUUUGAUGAAGGAAAUGGAGCAGUUGUUGGUGGUCUUUGUGGGGUUUCUAGUCGGAAAAAGUGAACAGAGAAAAGAGAGGCUGUGUGGUUUGGGAGGAACUGACAGUGAAGAGGAGAACAAAGAAAUGGAAUUUUUGGUGGUGGACUCGCCGGAUCCCGGCGGAACUCCGGCGACUUGCCAGAAAAUAAUGAACAAUUAAAGAAUAAAAAAUUUGUAAUUUACCCCCUAAAAAUUUUAUCCACCACCCUUGACCUAAUGAAUAAGUCAUUGUUUAUAUAGAAAAUAAAAAAUUUCCUAUAGUACAGUAUCAUUCUUUUAAAAUCGUGCACCAAAAUCAUUAGCCUUUAAAAAUAUCUGUGCAUGAAAUUUUAUCCAUAUUCGAAUGAAUUUUUAGAAUGUGCAAAAUAUCAAAAUUAAUAUUGACAAAUAUAACAAAUAUAAUGAUUAUUAAAAAGUAUAAUGAAUGUAGCUAAUGAUAUGUAAAAAAUGCAAUUUAUCAGAACUAAUGAUGUAAUCAAAAUGAAUAAAUAUUAGAACGUAGUCAACUGGUUGUGACAAAAAAUAAUGUAAUUAAAAUUAACUGAUCAAAAAAAUUCUAAAUUUUGACAAAUAAGGAUAGUUAUCGAUAAAUUUAUUUAAAAUUAUUAAAAAUGUACUUUGAACUAUUAAAUAAAUAAAAACUUAAAAGUUAAAAAAAAAUUAAAAUGUUAGAUCAAAAUUGGAUAUCAACACAUUCAAUUCAAGAAAAAAAUAAUUUGAAGUAGUAUAGAAAAAAGAAGAACAAAAAUGAAGUCAAUUAUUGUAAAAGACUACAGACAAUCUAACUAAUCAUCUCAAAUAUUCUCUCUCUUCAACGAUAGUAGUCAAUUAUACUAAAAGUAGUUAUCCAACUAUACUUGUCCAAUUUAGAAAUCAAAAGAUAAUUUAUCUUUUGUGUCUAUUUUAUCGUUGUCAUUAAAUAUUAUUACAGAUUUUCAAAGUAUUAAAUUUAAUAAAAUCAAAAGAUAAAAUAUGAUAUUAUUACCUCUAUUAUUUAUUGUUUCUUAAGAAAUAUGUCAAGUUAAUAGUGGAUAGCUAUGUUGAAUAGAGAGAGUAUUAAUCACAAUAAAAUACAAUAAUAAUUUAAAAUAUAAAAAAAUCCACGAAUGAUAACUAAACUCAAAAAGAUAAGAAACUGGGAGAAUAAUAAAUCUCUAGUUGUGUGUAUUAUAAAACUUUUUAAACUCACCUUAUUUGGAAUAACCAUAAAUAAAUGACAUAUUGUAGGUAUAUUUCUUGAAUGUCCUUAUGAGUUGUAACCUCCUCCUUAGAGGCGGUAAUUAGUGGGAAUUUUAGCCUCAGUUGUUCCGCGUCUGGAACACACCCACCCACCUUCUCUUCUUCCGAUCCGUAAGUAAUCAAUUAAGCGGCUUUUGACACAUUCCUCUCCCUUUGCCCAUUUACAAAACUAGAUUCAAAAUAAAUCUCUUAAUUCUCUCAUAUAUAUAUUAUAAGCAACAUACCUAAAUCUCUAACCGACUCUUCUCUCACCCUCUUCAAUCUAGCUAUCUUUUCUUCUGAUCAAUUAAUUUCUCCUAAUUUUUCUGAUUCAGCUCCACAAACUUGAACAAUUUAUCAAUGGGGAGCGGAAAUAAACACCAUCACAAUCAUCAUCUGAAUUUCCAUGUUCAAUUUUAUUUUCCAUUUCACCUUCAUCAUCAUACGAAGGAGGAAUUGAGGGAUACAGUACCGAGAGGAUGCGUUACG
RNAcentral lists this long non-coding RNA (18112 nucleotides) under Solanum tuberosum (potato). RNAcentral's name for it is "long non-coding RNA (STUB_LNC003959)". The record is from RNAcentral. Lineage: Eukaryota; Viridiplantae; Streptophyta; Magnoliopsida; Solanales; Solanaceae.